GAUGAACGCUGGCGGCGUGCCUAAUACAUGCAAGUCGAGCGAACAGAUGAGGAGCUUGCUCCUCUGACGUUAGCGGCGGACGGGUGAGUAACACGUGGAUAACCUACCUAUAAGACUGGGAUAACUUCGGGAAACCGGAGCUAAUACCGGAUAAUAUAUUGAACCGCAUGGUUCAAUAGUGAAAGACGGUUUUGCUGUCACUUAUAGAUGGAUCCGCGCCGCAUUUGCUAGUUGGUAAGGUAACGGCUUACCAAGGCAACGAGGCGUAGCCGACCUGAAGUGUUGGUCGGCCACGCUAGAACUGAGACACGCUCAAGUCUCCGUCUGGAGGCAGCAGUAGGGAAGCUUCCGUUAUGGGCUAAGUCUUGACGGAGCAACGCCGCGUGAGUGAUGAUGUUUUUCCGAUGGUAAAACUCUGUUAUUUGGGAAGAACAAUUGUGUAAGUAACUAUGCUCGUCUUUACGGUACCUAAUCAGAAAGCUACGGCUAACUGCGUG
This 497-nucleotide ribosomal RNA is filed under the name uncultured bacterium. Its description in RNAcentral is "partial 16S ribosomal RNA". It matches the Rfam family "Bacterial small subunit ribosomal RNA", at positions 28 to 507 of the family's 1533-position model. The record is from RNAcentral.